Molecule: ribosomal RNA, 1534 nt
Filed under: Escherichia coli DEC8A
Lineage: Bacteria; Pseudomonadati; Pseudomonadota; Gammaproteobacteria; Enterobacterales; Enterobacteriaceae
Description: bacterial SSU rRNA
Rfam family: Bacterial small subunit ribosomal RNA
Source: RNAcentral
AGAGUUUGAUCAUGGCUCAGAUUGAACGCUGGCGGCAGGCCUAACACAUGCAAGUCGAACGGUAACAGGAAGCAGCUUGCUGCUUUGCUGACGAGUGGCGGACGGGUGAGUAAUGUCUGGGAAACUGCCUGAUGGAGGGGGAUAACUACUGGAAACGGUAGCUAAUACCGCAUAACGUCGCAAGACCAAAGAGGGGGACCUUCGGGCCUCUUGCCAUCGGAUGUGCCCAGAUGGGAUUAGCUUGUUGGUGGGGUAACGGCUCACCAAGGCGACGAUCCCUAGCUGGUCUGAGAGGAUGACCAGCCACACUGGAACUGAGACACGGUCCAGACUCCUACGGGAGGCAGCAGUGGGGAAUAUUGCACAAUGGGCGCAAGCCUGAUGCAGCCAUGCCGCGUGUAUGAAGAAGGCCUUCGGGUUGUAAAGUACUUUCAGCGGGGAGGAAGGGAGUAAAGUUAAUACCUUUGCUCAUUGACGUUACCCGCAGAAGAAGCACCGGCUAACUCCGUGCCAGCAGCCGCGGUAAUACGGAGGGUGCAAGCGUUAAUCGGAAUUACUGGGCGUAAAGACGCACGCAGGCGGUUUGUUAAGUCAGAUGUGAAAUACCCCGGGCGUCAACCUGGGAACUGCAUCUGAUACUGGCAAGCUUGAGUCUCGUAGAGGGGGGUAGAAUUCCAGGUGUAGCGGUGAAAUGCGUAGAGAUCUGGAGGAAUACCGGUGGCGAAGGCGGCCCCCUGGACGAAGACUGACGCUCAGGUGCGAAAGCGUGGGGGAGCAAACAGGAUUAGAUACCCUGGUAGUCCACGCCGUAAACGAUGUCGACUUGGAGGUUGUGCCCUUGAGGCGUGGCUUCCGGAGCUAACGCGUUAAGUCGACCGCCUGGGGAGUACGGCCGCAAGGUUAAAACUCAAAUGAAUUGACGGGGGCCCGCACAAGCGGUGGAGCAUGUGGUUUAAUUCGAUGCAACGCGAAGAACCUUACCUGGUCUUGACAUCCACAGAACUUUCCAGAGAUGGAUUGGUGCCUUCGGGAACUGUGAGACAGGUGCUGCAUGGCUGUCGUCAGCUCGUGUUGUGAAAUGUUGGGUUAAGUCCCGCAACGAGCGCAACCCUUAUCCUUUGUUGCCAGCGGUCCGGCCGGGAACUCAAAGGAGACUGCCAGUGAUAAACUGGAGGAAGGUGGGGAUGACGUCAAGUCAUCAUGGCCCUUACGACCAGGGCUACACACGUGCUACAAUGGCGCAUACAAAGAGAAGCGACCUCGCGAGAGCAAGCGGACCUCAUAAAGUGCGUCGUAGUCCGGAUUGGAGUCUGCAACUCGACUCCAUGAAGUCGGAAUCGCUAGUAAUCGUGGAUCAGAAUGCCACGGUGAAUACGUUCCCGGGCCUUGUACACACCGCCCGUCACACCAUGGGAGUGGGUUGCAAAAGAAGUAGGUAGCUUAACCUUCGGGAGGGCGCUUACCACUUUGUGAUUCAUGACUGGGGUGAAGUCGUAACAAGGUAACCGUAGGGGAACCUGCGGUUGGAUCACCU